AUUAUCUUCCUCAAGCAAAUGUGUGAUAAAGAAAUGUAGGAGUAGUGCUUGGUAUCAGUAUAACCUAUGUACGAGCAUAACCUCUAGGCUUGGGCAAAAUUACUCUGUUUGGAUGGAAAUGACUAUUGACAGUCUCAGGAAGUGAGAAGUCUCAUCUUCACAAAAUGCUCCCAAAUGUCAGAUUGUGGAAGUGGUAAAUUUUUAAGUGAGUGCUGCAACUGUUGGGAAGCAGCCCUUUGUGACUUACCAGAAGGGAGGCCUGUCUGCUCGUGAGGAAAGGCAACUGUGGAAGCUCUGAGAAGAAACACUGUGAUUUCAAAAGGCAUAACUGGGCUCUGAAGCAGAGACAACUACAACUUCAGUGUCAAAAAGAGCAUAGAGAAACACUGGGCUAUACUUGCAUUUCAUGUCAUUGCCACCACAUGAGGGAAGAGGAAGUUGGGCUGCAGCUCUGAUGUGCUUUCAUUUGUUGUUUAGUUCAUCUUCAGCAAAGACACCCUGAUGUGAGUGCUGUAAUAACUGCGUGAUGGUUGCUACUUCACUGGAACUCCUUUUAGCAAUGUGUGUUGGCUGCUUAAUAGCUACAGAUCCCAGUAAUAUAAUAGUCAUCCAAACACCAAUGGAAAUACAUCUAUCUACUGGAGACUCCACUGAAAUAGCUUGUAUUUGGGAAAAGUCAAUUAAGAGAUAUAGAAUCAGCUGGUAUCUUGUUAAUAAAGAGAACGUCACCAGAACUGUAUCAUCAAAUCUUGUCUACAACGUCACCGGUCAAAUCAAGAAUGUCCUACUGAUUGAAGCUGCCAGUGCAAAUGACACUGGGUUUUACUACUGUGAGAUAAUUAUUGAAAUACCUUUCUAUAAAAAAGUAUGUGGAAAUGGAACAAAGCUGGUCGUUGAAGAGCGAGAAGCUCAGUCAUUGGAGAAGAGAACGUCGGUAGUUUGGGUCAUCGUUCCCGUCAUUCCUUUCUUAGCUGCAAUGGGAAGCUUAUAUUUUUGCUACAAAAAGAAACAGAAGUUGAUGUUUUCUGGUUCUGCCCAGCUUCCUGCACCACGAGAAGGGCAUCAGGAGGAGCAGACACUUGAGGUGGAAGACAUUUGUAGAAGAACUGAAUCCACCAGAGAAGAAGCUGGAUGGGCUGUGUCUACACUUUAUAACUCACUCGAUUCUUUUUAUGAUGCACCAAACUAAAAGAUGACAAAUCCACUGUCACUACUGGACCCAGUGCAGCAGAUGAGCCAAUCCCACGAACUGGGGCAGCUGCAAAGUCUAGAACAAGG
RNAcentral lists this long non-coding RNA (1278 nucleotides) under Phasianus colchicus (ring-necked pheasant). RNAcentral's name for it is "lncRNA (ENSPCLG00000001735.1)". Lineage: Eukaryota; Metazoa; Chordata; Aves; Galliformes; Phasianidae. The record is from RNAcentral.